Ruditapes philippinarum (Manila clam) is the source of this 705-nucleotide long non-coding RNA. RefSeq lists it as uncharacterized. Lineage: Eukaryota; Metazoa; Mollusca; Bivalvia; Venerida; Veneridae. The transcript is spliced from 4 exons. The record is from RefSeq and is a predicted model, not a curated record.
AGGUCGAUUUCAGUUUAAGCACAAUUACAUGUACAGUUGUCAUUUUUCAUAGUUUGCAGAUAUGGACGGUUGCAGCUCGGAUAUUGUUUGUGGAUAAUGUUGGAAAACAUUUCGUUCAUGGACAGGUCUUAAUGACCACUUAAACUGGCUACUCGGCACAGGACCUUGUAAACGUUGUGGCAAAUCGAACUGUCACAGAUCCUGGUCCUGGCUGAAAUUGAGAGUAUUGCAGCUGUAGCUUGUAUACCAUACAUUUAACAUGAAAAGGACUGUCAGGAUGCUGCAUACAAUGGUCUUAGCUAGAGCCUAGAAUGAAUAUUUCUUAGGAAAUAUGCUGCAAGAAACUGAAGGGGAGCAGUUUUUCUUACCAAUCAUAGAAGCAAUAAGAGACAGCCAACGAAGUAUUCAAACACCAUCAUGAAACACUUAAGACAUACCAGGAGAGAUCUAGAAGAAGUACUAGUAGUAGAGUGGAACAGAUUGUAGCUUAAUUGUAGCUAAAAGGACUUCUUAAAUCGUUAAAAUUAAAGCUGCACUUGAACUGUCUUUUUUUUUGUUAAACAGUUAAACUCUGUUACUUUGCUUUAUAUUAAAAUUGAAGUAUGUUGAAAUGACAUUGAAACUUUAACGUUGUGCCAACGUUGAAUUUCAACGUUAGUUAAACUUUCAAAUCCGAACAUAAAUCCAACGUUAUUUCAACGUUAA